RNAcentral lists this ribosomal RNA (2774 nucleotides) under Staphylococcus aureus. RNAcentral describes it as "23S ribosomal RNA". It matches the Rfam family "Bacterial large subunit ribosomal RNA". The record is from RNAcentral. Lineage: Bacteria; Bacillati; Bacillota; Bacilli; Caryophanales; Staphylococcaceae.
UUAAGUUAUUAAGGGCGCACGGUGGAUGCCUUGGCACUAGAAGCCGAUGAAGGACGUUACUAACGACGAUAUGCUUUGGGGAGCUGUAAGUAAGCUUUGAUCCAGAGAUUUCCGAAUGGGGAAACCCAGCAUGAGUUAUGUCAUGUUAUCGAUAUGUGAAUACAUAGCAUAUCAGAAGGCACACCCGGAGAACUGAAACAUCUUAGUACCCGGAGGAAGAGAAAGAAAAUUCGAUUCCCUUAGUAGCGGCGAGCGAAACGGGAAGAGCCCAAACCAACAAGCUUGCUUGUUGGGGUUGUAGGACACUCUAUACGGAGUUACAAAGGACGACAUUAGACGAAUCAUCUGGAAAGAUGAAUCAAAGAAGGUAAUAAUCCUGUAGUCGAAAAUGUUGUCUCUCUUGAGUGGAUCCUGAGUACGACGGAGCACGUGAAAUUCCGUCGGAAUCUGGGAGGACCAUCUCCUAAGGCUAAAUACUCUCUAGUGACCGAUAGUGAACCAGUACCGUGAGGGAAAGGUGAAAAGCACCCCGGAAGGGGAGUGAAAUAGAACCUGAAACCGUGUGCUUACAAGUAGUCAGAGCCCGUUAAUGGGUGAUGGCGUGCCUUUUGUAGAAUGAACCGGCGAGUUACGAUUUGAUGCAAGGUUAAGCAGUAAAUGUGGAGCCGUAGCGAAAGCGAGUCUGAAUAGGGCGUUUAGUAUUUGGUCGUAGACCCGAAACCAGGUGAUCUACCCUUGGUCAGGUUGAAGUUCAGGUAACACUGAAUGGAGGACCGAACCGACUUACGUUGAAAAGUGAGCGGAUGAACUGAGGGUAGCGGAGAAAUUCCAAUCGAACCUGGAGAUAGCUGGUUCUCUCCGAAAUAGCUUUAGGGCUAGCCUCAAGUGAUGAUUAUUGGAGGUAGAGCACUGUUUGGACGAGGGGCCCCUCUCGGGUUACCGAAUUCAGACAAACUCCGAAUGCCAAUUAAUUUAACUUGGGAGUCAGAACAUGGGUGAUAAGGUCCGUGUUCGAAAGGGAAACAGCCCAGACCACCAGCUAAGGUCCCAAAAUAUAUGUUAAGUGGAAAAGGAUGUGGCGUUGCCCAGACAACUAGGAUGUUGGCUUAGAAGCAGCCAUCAUUUAAAGAGUGCGUAAUAGCUCACUAGUCGAGUGACACUGCGCCGAAAAUGUACCGGGGCUAAACAUAUUACCGAAGCUGUGGAUUGUCCUUUGGACAAUGGUAGGAGAGCGUUCUAAGGGCGUUGAAGCAUGAUCGUAAGGACAUGUGGAGCGCUUAGAAGUGAGAAUGCCGGUGUGAGUAGCGAAAGACGGGUGAGAAUCCCGUCCACCGAUUGACUAAGGUUUCCAGAGGAAGGCUCGUCCGCUCUGGGUUAGUCGGGUCCUAAGCUGAGGCCGACAGGCGUAGGCGAUGGAUAACAGGUUGAUAUUCCUGUACCACCUAUAAUCGUUUUAAUCGAUGGGGGGACGCAGUAGGAUAGGCGAAGCGUGCGAUUGGAUUGCACGUCUAAGCAGUAAGGCUGAGUAUUAGGCAAAUCCGGUACUCGNNNNCUCGUUAAGGAACUCGGCAAAAUGACCCCGUAACUUCGGGAGAAGGGGUGCUCUUUAGGGUUAACGCCCAGAAGAGCCGCAGUGAAUAGGCCCAAGCGACUGUUUAUCAAAAACACAGGUCUCUGCUAAACCGUAAGGUGAUGUAUAGGGGCUGACGCCUGCCCGGUGCUGGAAGGUUAAGAGGAGUGGUUAGCUUCUGCGAAGCUACGAAUCGAAGCCCCAGUAAACGGCGGCCGUAACUAUAACGGUCCUAAGGUAGCGAAAUUCCUUGUCGGGUAAGUUCCGACCCGCACGAAAGGCGUAACGAUUUGGGCACUGUCUCAACGAGAGACUCGGUGAAAUCAUAGUACCUGUGAAGAUGCAGGUUACCCGCGACAGGACGGAAAGACCCCGUGGAGCUUUACUGUAGCCUGAUAUUGAAAUUCGGCACAGCUUGUACAGGAUAGGUAGGAGCCUUUGAAACGUGAGCGCUAGCUUACGUGGAGGCGCUGGUGGGAUACUACCCUAGCUGUGUUGGCUUUCUAACCCGCACCACUUAUCGUGGUGGGAGACAGUGUCAGGCGGGCAGUUUGACUGGGGCGGUCGCCUCCUAAAAGGUAACGGAGGCGCUCAAAGGUUCCCUCAGAAUGGUUGGAAAUCAUUCAUAGAGUGUAAAGGCAUAAGGGAGCUUGACUGCGAGACCUACAAGUCGAGCAGGGUCGAAAGACGGACUUAGUGAUCCGGUGGUUCCGCAUGGAAGGGCCAUCGCUCAACGGAUAAAAGCUACCCCGGGGAUAACAGGCUUAUCUCCCCCAAGAGUUCACAUCGACGGGGAGGUUUGGCACCUCGAUGUCGGCUCAUCGCAUCCUGGGGCUGUAGUCGGUCCCAAGGGUUGGGCUGUUCGCCCAUUAAAGCGGUACGCGAGCUGGGUUCAGAACGUCGUGAGACAGUUCGGUCCCUAUCCGUCGUGGGCGUAGGAAAUUUGAGAGGAGCUGUCCUUAGUACGAGAGGACCGGGAUGGACAUACCUCUGGUGUACCAGUUGUCGUGCCAACGGCAUAGCUGGGUAGCUAUGUGUGGACGGGAUAAGUGCUGAAAGCAUCUAAGCAUGAAGCCCCCCUCAAGAUGAGAUUUCCCAACUUCGGUUAUAAGAUCCCUCAAAGAUGAUGAGGUUAAUAGGUUCGAGGUGGAAGCAUGGUGACAUGUGGAGCUGACGAAUACUAAUCGAUCGAAGACUUAAUCAA